Molecule: transfer RNA, 69 nt
Filed under: Ictidomys tridecemlineatus (thirteen-lined ground squirrel)
Lineage: Eukaryota; Metazoa; Chordata; Mammalia; Rodentia; Sciuridae
Description: Spermophilus tridecemlineatus (thirteen-lined ground squirrel) tRNA
Rfam family: tRNA
About the family: Transfer RNA (tRNA) molecules are approximately 80 nucleotides in length.
Source: Rfam by way of RNAcentral
GGAGUUGUGGCUCAGAGGUAGAGCGCCUACCUAGCAUGUGUGAGGCACUGGGUUCAAUCCUCAGCACCA